UCGGGAAUUUUGCCCAAUGAGCGAAAGCUUGAGGCAGCAACUCCGCGUGAGGGAUGAAGGCUCUCGGGUCGUAAACCUCUUUUCUCAGGGAAGAUCCAAGACGGUACCUGAGGAAUAAGCCACGGCUAACUACGUGCCAGCAGCCGCGGUAAUACGUAGGUGGCAAGCGUUGUCCGGAUUUACUGGGCGUAAAGAGCGCGCAGGCGGCUGGUCAAGUCCGAUGUGAAAGCUCCCGGCUUAACUGGGAAAC
RNAcentral lists this ribosomal RNA (250 nucleotides) under uncultured bacterium. Its description in RNAcentral is "partial 16S ribosomal RNA". It matches the Rfam family "Bacterial small subunit ribosomal RNA", at positions 355 to 621 of the family's 1533-position model. The record is from RNAcentral.